GCAAGUCGAACGGGACUUACUUAGCUUGCUUUGUAAGUUUAGUGGCGAACGGGUGAGUAACACGUGAGCAACCUGCCCAGAAGAGGGGGAUAGCUCGGGGAAACUCGAAUUAAUACCGCAUACGGUCCUGUGUAGCAUUACGCAGAGAUCAAAGGUGCCUUCGGGUGCCACUUCUGGAUGGGCUCGCGGCCUAUCAGUUAGUUGGUGAGGUAACGGCUCACCAAGGCAAUGACGGGUAGCUGGUCUGAGAGGAUGAUC
Molecule: ribosomal RNA, 258 nt
Filed under: uncultured bacterium
Lineage: Bacteria
Description: partial 16S ribosomal RNA
Rfam family: Bacterial small subunit ribosomal RNA
Source: RNAcentral